This 460-nucleotide ribosomal RNA is filed under the name uncultured bacterium. Its description in RNAcentral is "partial 16S ribosomal RNA". It matches the Rfam family "Bacterial small subunit ribosomal RNA", at positions 338 to 795 of the family's 1533-position model. The record is from RNAcentral.
CCUACGGGAGGCUGCAGUGAGGAAUAUUGGUCAAUGGGCGCGAGCCUGAACCAGCCAAGUAGCGUGAAGGAUGACUGCCCUACGGGUUGUAAACUUCUUUUAUAAAGGAAUAAAGUGAGGCACGUGUGGCGCCACUGAGAGUACCCGGAGAAAAAGCAUCGGCUAACUCCGUGCCAGCAGCCGCGGUAAUACGGAGGAUGCGAGCGUUAUCCGGAUUUAUUGGUUUUAAAGGGUGCGUAGGCGGAUCGUUAAGUCAGUGGUCAAAUUGAGGGGCUCAACCCCUUCCCGCCAUUGAAACUGGCGUUCUUGAGUGGAAGAGAAGUAUGCGGAAUGCGUGGUGUAGCGGUGAAAUGCAUAGAUAUCACGCAGAACCCCGAUUGCGAAGGCAGCAUGCCGGCUUCCGACUGACGCUGAAGCACGAAAGCGUGGGGAUCGAACAGGAUUAGAUACCCGUGUAGUC